UACAGACCGUCGCCAUAUAGCUGGAAUAUUGCUGAGUGUUCCGUUAAACAACAGACAACAACUCUUCAGUGGGCUAUCGAGACAAGUGGUACACUGGACCCAUGAUAUCCGGGAAUCCC
Long non-coding RNA from Haliotis rubra (blacklip abalone), 119 nucleotides. RefSeq lists it as uncharacterized. The record is from RefSeq and is a predicted model, not a curated record. The transcript is spliced from 3 exons. NCBI's taxonomy places the organism in Eukaryota, Metazoa, Mollusca, Gastropoda, Lepetellida, Haliotidae.